Molecule: ribosomal RNA, 440 nt
Filed under: uncultured bacterium
Lineage: Bacteria
Description: partial 16S ribosomal RNA
Rfam family: Bacterial small subunit ribosomal RNA
Source: RNAcentral
CUACGGGAGGCUCCAGUGAGGAAUAUUGCACAAUGGGGGGAACCCUGAUGCAGCAACGCCGCGUGGAGGAUGACGCAUUUCGGUGUGUAAACUCCUUUUAUAUGUCAAGAAAAUGACGGUAGCAUAUGAAUAAGCACCGGCUAACUCCGUGCCAGCAGCCGCGGUAAUACGGAGGGUGCAAGCGUUACUCGGGAAUCACUGGGCGUAAAGGGCGCGUAGGCGGGUUGGAAAGUCAGGUGUGAAAUCCUACAGCUUAACUGUAGAACUGCACUUGAAACUUCUAAUCUAGAGUAUGGGAGGGGGAGAUGGAAUUAGUGGUGUAGGGGUAAAAUCCGUAGAUAUCACUAGGAAUACCUAAAGCGAAGGCGAUCUCCUGGAACAUUACUGACGCUAAGGCGUGAAAGCGUGGGGAGCAAACAGGAUUAGAUACCCGCGUAGUC